AGGAUUAACGCUGGCGGCGUGCCUAACACAUGCAAGUCGAACGAGGUAGCAAUACCUAGUGGCAGACGGGUGAGUAACGCGUGGUCAACCUACCGUUGAGUGGGGGAUAACGUAGCCGAAAGGUUAGCUAAUACCGCAUACGUCUCCGAGGGGCAUCCCUUGGCGAUAAAAGGAGCAAUCCGCUCGAUGACGGGACCGCGUCCCAUUAGCUAGAUGGUGGGGUAACGGCCUACCAUGGCACCGAUGGGUAGCUGGUUUGAGAGAGCGACCAGCCACACUGGGACUGAGAAACGGCCCAGACUCCUACGGGAGGCAGCAGUGAGGAAUUUUCCGCAAUGGGCGCAAGCCUGACGGAGCGACGCCGCGUGUGGGAAGAAGGCCUUCGGGUCGUAAACCACUGUCGAAGGGGACGAUAAUGACGGUACCCUUGGAGGAAGCCCCGGCUAACUACGUGCCAGCAGCCGC
RNAcentral lists this ribosomal RNA (465 nucleotides) under uncultured bacterium. Its description in RNAcentral is "SSU rRNA". It matches the Rfam family "Bacterial small subunit ribosomal RNA", at positions 26 to 518 of the family's 1533-position model. The record is from RNAcentral.